AGGUGGGGAACGCUUGCGUGUAUGUGGUUGUAGAACUGUCCUAGUCCAUGCAAGUGAAUUCAGCCUGUCUACCCGUAACCCUGUCUGUCUUCUGUGCACGAGACUGUAUGUAGGACCCCCUCCUCCCAUCCCGUCUCUCCUCCCCUUCUCUCUCUAUCUCCUCUCAUCCCUUCUUCCCUCCUUCUACCCCUCCUCUCCCCUCCCCAGCCAGUGUUGUCAGUGUUUGUCGAGCUCUGGCCCUGGCUUGUCUGUCACCCAUGUGGUGAUCCUCAGUGCAGGUCUGUUCGAGGUAUGUGUGUAUGCAUGCGUGUGUGUAUGUGUGCUUGUGUGUGUGCAUGCGUCUGUCUGUCUGUGUGUCUCCUUUUUGCUUUUUAAUGGCUGCCCAUCAGCCCAGUCCCUGACCAGACCACUCCAGAGUUUGGGUCGGCUAAAGAGAGUCCAUACAAUCAGGCCAUUCUGUUCUAAACAGGUCCAUUCUAAAGAUCAACCGGCUCCCUC
Long non-coding RNA from Osmerus eperlanus (European smelt), 498 nucleotides. RefSeq lists it as uncharacterized. The record is from RefSeq and is a predicted model, not a curated record. The transcript has 3 exons. NCBI's taxonomy places the organism in Eukaryota, Metazoa, Chordata, Actinopteri, Osmeriformes, Osmeridae.